This is an RNA transcript of Colossoma macropomum (tambaqui), 2809 nucleotides long. It is a transcript of the gene named leucine-rich repeat and transmembrane domain-containing protein 1, with no coding region annotated. The record is from RefSeq and is a predicted model, not a curated record. NCBI's taxonomy places the organism in Eukaryota, Metazoa, Chordata, Actinopteri, Characiformes, Serrasalmidae. The transcript has 4 exons.
GUGUGUGUGUGUGUGUGUGUAUGUGUGUGUGUGUGUUACUGUGAGUGGGUGAAGAGAGAGAGAGAGAGAGAGUCAGAAUGUGAAGGUAUUUUUGUAUUUGUGUGGGAAGCAGUGGACGUAAAGCACUGAUAACAGAGAGGGAACACAUACAAAGAGAAGGAAUUUGAAGGUAUUCUGCAUUGUGUGUGUGGCUGUGUGCGUGUGUGUGUGUGCGUGUGUGUGUGUAAGGUACAGUUGAGGCAGAUUAAUCCAGCGGAAAUGCAAAAGCUCUCGCAGCUUUUCCAGUGUGCUUUAAGAGCACAGCUGUCCACCACACACUCACACGCUGUCACUCUCCACUCUGAGCUAUACUGAGCCUCUGAGAGAGAGAGAGAGAGAGAGAGAGAGAGAGAGAGAGGAAAAAGAGAGAGAGAAAGCAAAGAGAGAGAGAGUAGUAGAGGGGUAGGGAGAGAGAGAGCCGGGAGAGAAAGAGCAGAAAGAAAGAAAGAUGGUGUGAAAGAGGUUCAGACAGAGAAACAUAUAGAGAGCAGAAAAAGAAAAAAGAGAGGGACAGCAAGAGAGAAUGAUAGAGGAAGAGAAAGCAGAGAAAGAGAAAGAGCAGCGAGAAAAACAUAUAGAGAGCAGAGAGAGAAAAAAGAGAGGGACAGCAAGAGAGAAUGAUAAAGGGAGAGAGCAGAGAGAGAGUGCAAAGUGCAUAGAGGAAUAGGUAGAGAGAAAUAGAAGGGAGAGCAAGAGAGAGGAGGCGUUUGAAGAGGCAGAAAAUGACGGAAGACAUUGAAGUGAAAUGCUGAGGAAGAGAAGAAUAAUAUAGCAGGAGCGAUAGAUAGAUAGAUAGAUAGAUAGAUAGAUAGAUAAUACUACAUUAAUAUAUCCUUUUAUAUAUUUUAUAUUUUUAAGAGAAUGAGGUGGUUAGCAAAAAAGACUUAAGGAAGAACAGAGAGAGAUAGAGAGAGAGAGAGAGAGAGAGAAAGACAGAGAGAGAGAGGGGGGAUAGAGACAGAGAGAGAAAGAGAGGGGGGUCUACUCCAGUAAUAGCAGUUCACAGUUAGGAGACUGGCUAACUGUAUGUGCUGAGCAGAGAGAUGGGGACGGUCUCUGCCAUGGCCAGAGACACAGAAGACAUGGCCAAGGUCCGAUCCUGAACACACGCACACACACACACUCUCGCUGACAAACACAGAGGAUGACCCCUGGACAUGCUGAGCGGAGGAGUGGUCUAGGAGCCAUGACAGGAGGUGUGGUCUUUACACUGUCCACCUUACUUCUGGUCCAGGCAGUGUCCCCUUGCCCCAAGGAGUGCUCAUGUGAUAGUUAUGCCAAGGUGGUGGACUGUCGGGGGCGAGGUUUAUACGACAUUCCUCACAAGCUACAUCCCGAAACUCAGGAGCUGUAUCUUCAGGACAACCGCAUACGAGGCCUUGGCUCCAUGGCAUUUCGGGAAACGCCACAACUCCGGGUUCUGGACCUGGCCAACAACACCAUCACUAUGAUUUCCCCCAGUGCCCUCCUGGGGCUCAGGGGGUUAAGAAGCCUCAGCUUGGCCAACAACUCGAUCCGGGAGGUGGACCGCCGUUUUUUGGGCUCUAUACGGAAUCUAACCCAGUUGGACCUUUCUUACAACAACAUUGGAGGGCUACCUGGAGCACUAGCCGAUAGCUUCCACCACCUAACUCACCUAUCACUUCAUUUUAACCGGCUGACCAAGGUGGACCGCACUCACUUGGAGGCCCUUGGGAGCCUGGAGGUGCUGAACCUGAGGGGGAACCCGUGGAAGUGCGAUUGCCAGAUGAUAGGACUCAAGCUAUGGCUGGAGACAUUCACUUUCAAAGGUGGAGUGGUGGACGAGGUUGUGUGUGCCCAGCCUCACGCCAUGCGGGAGCGCGACCUGCAGCAAGUUCCCUAUGAGCUCUUCCACGCCUGCAUGACCACCAGCUACAGCUACCUGUUCGCCAACAUCCACCAUCUGGACAACCAGCACCGGCUGCUCCGUGGUCAUCUCCACCCCAGCCCAGAGGCUCCUCCUUAUGGGGGCGAAUUCGGACCCCCACCGGAGUGUGAGGCCAAACAGAAGCCUCGGCCUGUCAACCUGCGGCACGCCAUAGCCACAGUGGUAAUCACCGGAGUGGUGUGCGGCAUUGUUUGUCUGAUGAUGCUGGCCGCUGCUGUCUACGGGUGCGCCUAUGCCGCCAUCAUGGCCAAAUACCAGCGUGAGCUGAAGAAGCGAGAGAAGGAGGCUGGAGGAGGAGGAACAGAGAGGGAGAACGCAGAUAGGGAAGGGGAGAAGGAGCCGCUGGAGAACGCUAUAGCGUGAGAAGAAGCGAGACAUGCAAUAAUGCCCAUAUCUGCACCAGGGGUGUUACAUAGUCAACACAGAUCAUGAACAUCGAUAAAGGAAUACUUCUGGAUUUUUCAAUCUACUGCAUCAGUAGCAUACGAGUGGCAAUAUGUUACCAGUGUAGUGUUACAGGUGGAGUUUUAACAGACUCCUGCCUGAUCAUGCAUGAAUACCAGAAAACCAACCCUUGUCCUGAAGAUCUACCUUCCUGUGGAGUCUAGUUUCAACCACAAUCUGCAACUAAUUCACUUCUUCAGACGUUGUUCAUUGGCUGGAUCUGAAGCAGAAGUGCUAAGUGAGUGUGGUGCAGCAUGUUAGAUACAGGUUAGAACUAAACUCUGAAGGAAACUAGAGCUGCAUUCCAAAAGCUAGGAUCCACUUUUCUCAGCUCUUCGUUUGUAUUACGUAAUGCAAAAUGGUAUACCAAGUCCACCAAGGCCACUUUGUCAUGUGAUCAGAAAGGAGAAAAUACCA